This 534-nucleotide long non-coding RNA is filed under the name Manihot esculenta (cassava). RNAcentral's name for it is "long non-coding RNA (MESC_LNC009733)". The record is from RNAcentral. Lineage: Eukaryota; Viridiplantae; Streptophyta; Magnoliopsida; Malpighiales; Euphorbiaceae.
UAAAGUCCAGUGAGCAGAAUAAUAAAACAUUCAAUUUAAAUUUCAUGCUUUCAUGGAAUGCAACACAUCACAAACAAUUCACAUCAAGGAUGAACUUGUCACCAAUAGCCCACUACUGAAUCCAAUAGUGCCAGGGGCGUAGACUGGGCCUCACUGGUCUUUCUCUUACUAUGGUGCCAGGGGCAUAGAAUGGGCCUCACUGGUCUUCCGUACCGUAUCAUAUCAUAACGUAGUGCGGCUAAAGGAUCAUCCAACAUUCAUCCACAUCAUCAACAUAUUAUGCAAUGCAACAUAUUCGUGAAUUCUAAUGCAAACAACCUAGAAUAUCACAUGGCAUUCAUGAUGCAUGUAUCAUGCUCAGAAUUUAUUGAUUUACUUUGAAACAUAAUAAGGUAUUCCACUCACCUCUGGCUGAAGCUCUAACAGACACAGAAGCAGCUGAACUCACUGCUGGGGUCUUCGAUUCCUCGGGUCCGAACCUACACAGGUGGACUCAAAUGAGGGACCUAAUAUAUAUAAACAUGACUCUAAAAU